UGCAACAUCCCAGGCACAUGUACAGUCUUAUUAUAUAUAUUUUUUUGGGGGGGGGAGGUUGACGCGCAGCCAACGAGAAGGCAGCGCGGCGAGCAGCUCCCAUCCGGGUACUUCCCUCUCCGGGUUACUGUACUACAGUACAGAGACGCGGCGGCGACACUAGCAGAACUGGUUUCAGAAGAAGUGUCCCGAACCCCCUGAAGUUGACAAACUGUCUCGCCGGCGUUUCUGCAUUUCACUGUCCUCGCUGUUCCAGCCGAGCCGUCCAAACCCGCAGACGGGCUGAUGCCAAGAAGUGGAUUCCGAUUUCUUGCACGUCUGUGUGGCAAGUAUUACCCUAUUGUGGGAGGGGGGGAGAGAGACGCAAAUUAUUUUUUAAAAGGGUACAUAAGC
This is a long non-coding RNA of Lepisosteus oculatus (spotted gar), 393 nucleotides long. RefSeq lists it as uncharacterized. The record is from RefSeq and is a predicted model, not a curated record. NCBI's taxonomy places the organism in Eukaryota, Metazoa, Chordata, Actinopteri, Semionotiformes, Lepisosteidae.